RNAcentral lists this small RNA (939 nucleotides) under Pan troglodytes (chimpanzee). Its description in RNAcentral is "retained intron". Lineage: Eukaryota; Metazoa; Chordata; Mammalia; Primates; Hominidae. The record is from RNAcentral.
CUGGUCUGCGUGGAGGUCGACGACUCCGUCGCAGACUACGGACCUGUCUGGGUCUCAGCCGCCAAAGACCCCGUCCGGUAGGAAGUACUAGCCGGACAUCAUGAGUGGCUGUCGGGUAUUCAUCGGGAGACUAAAUCCAGCGGCCAGGGAGAAGGACGUGGAAAGAUUCUUCAAGGGAUAUGGACGGAUAAGAGAUAUUGAUCUGAAAAGAGGCUUUGGUUUUGUGGAAUUUGAGGAUCCAAGGGAUGCAGAUGAUGCUGUGUAUGAGCUUGAUGGAAAAGAACUCUGUAGUGAAAGGGUUACUAUUGAACAUGCUAGGGCUCGGUCACGAGGUGGAAGAGGUAGAGGACGAUACUCUGACCGUUUUAGUAGUCGCAGACCUCGAAAUGAUAGACGGUAUGUGAAGGGUGGAUGGCUGCAUUGAACAAUUAUUGUAGGGGUAGCAUUUAAGAUUCAGGAGUCAUUAGCAGUGAUGAUUCCGGGUCCUGCCGUAUAAUCUGUUCGUCUAUUCCCACGUUAGCCCAUUGUUCUUGAUGAAUCUAUGUGAGUCAUAGAACACAAAUCUAUUGACGGAAGUCAUUAGAAUGGCUUGUGAUAUUUGAUGGCUUGAACUUGCCCACAGUUGAACACAAGUGCUGUCAUUGCAUUUCUUCCAUUGUGAAUACGAAUUUUCUUCCUCAGAAAUGCUCCACCUGUAAGAACAGAAAAUCGUCUUAUAGUUGAGAAUUUAUCCUCAAGAGUCAGCUGGCAGGAUCUCAAAGAUUUCAUGAGACAAGCUGGGGAAGUAACGUUUGCGGAUGCACACCGACCUAAAUUAAAUGAAGGGGUGGUUGAGUUUGCCUCUUAUGGUGACUUAAAGAAUGCUAUUGAAAAACUUUCUGGAAAGGAAAUAAAUGGGAGAAAAAUAAAAUUAAUUGAAGGCAGCAAAAGGCACAGGUA